CUAUGGAAGCUUGCUUCCACUGAGAAGAUAGUGGCGAACGGGGUGAGGUAACAACGUGGGGUAACCUGCCCAUAAGAGGGGGGAUAACAUCCGGAAACGGGUGCUAAUACCGCAUAGUUUUCUUGAUCGCAUGAUUGAGAAAGGAAAGACGGCCUUUGUGCUGUCGCUUAUGGAUGGACCCGCGGCGUAUUAGUUAGUUGGUGAGGUAACGGCUCACCAAGACGAUGAUACGUAGCCGACCUGAGAGGGUGAUCGGCCACAUUGGGACUGAGACACGGCCCAAACUCCUACGGGAGGCAGCAGUAGGGAAUCUUCCGCAAUGGACGAAAGUCUGACGGAGCAACGCCGCGUGAGUGAAGAAAAGGGUUUUCGGAUCGUAAAACUCUGUUGUCAGAGAAGAACAAGUUGGAGAGUAACUGCUCCAGCCUUGACGGUAUCUGACCAGAAAGCCACGGCUAACUACGUGCCAGCAGCCGC
This 477-nucleotide ribosomal RNA is filed under the name uncultured bacterium. RNAcentral describes it as "bacterial SSU rRNA". It matches the Rfam family "Bacterial small subunit ribosomal RNA", at positions 70 to 518 of the family's 1533-position model. The record is from RNAcentral.